Long non-coding RNA from Choloepus didactylus (southern two-toed sloth), 1011 nucleotides. RefSeq lists it as uncharacterized. Lineage: Eukaryota; Metazoa; Chordata; Mammalia; Pilosa; Megalonychidae. The transcript is spliced from 5 exons. The record is from RefSeq and is a predicted model, not a curated record.
UUGGAAGCAAAUAACUUGUUCUCUAUGUUUCACAGGUCCACGGAUGGAGAGAAAUUGUGCCACAGGACAGACCAUAUCCAUAACCAAUUUUGGUGCUCCCAUUCACACUUCCGGAUGAAACCAAUUACUAGAGACUCACAGGGCUGUGUGGAGGGGCAGCCAGCGCUGGACCGGGAAAUGAACUUGGGAUUUACCUGCAUUCAGUUAUUAACUGGAAGGUGCUCUCAAGCAUGUCACUUAAUCUCUGAGGACCUCCGUUUCAUCAAUCUGUAAAAUGAGAGGACUGGUUUAGAUGACCCCGAAGCACUCUUUCAGUUCUCCCAAUCUAUGAAUCUUUAACCUAGUUCAUUUCCGCCUUUCAGCAGGGACAGAGCAAUUGAGCCUGACAGUCGAAAGAGAAACAAUCCUUUUGGAUUAAAGUGUGCGUACCGGAUUUCUCUGUCUGCAGCUCAGAUCCACUCGCCACCGGUCUGCACCCCAUUCUUUGGCCCGGGAGGCUGACCUUGGAGGAUUGCAUCACCAGGCUUCGUUGCCCUCUGGCUUCUGAUCUGAGAGCAGUCUGGUGUGUGGCUGAUGGGGCUGUGCUGGCCUGGACAUGAUGAAGUCAGAGCUAAGGAACAAAGGGGGAUGAUCUGUUGCUAUCAACGAAUUAGAAGGUCCUGGGCCAUGGGAAAGAACAAUCAAUUGGACUCAGGCUGGAAUGCCACCCAUGGCCCCUGAACUUUCUGCCUCCUGGAUUCUUAGCUGUCCUAAGCCUGUGGCCUCUGCUCCCCAGCCUUCGACCUGACCUCCCUGUUCUGACUUACCGCUUGGCUCAGAAUGAUUCUUCCUCCUGGUCUACCACUCACCCCCCCACGGAAGACCCUCCACUGGUUGGGGACUUCCUCAGUGGUGAUGAAGAACAGGAUAUUUUAUCAUUAAUGACAAGGGAUCAAGGGACAGAUUAUGACUCUGCAACAUACAAAUAUUAUCCCCUGCACGCUGAUGUUGCUAGUAGUUUUAUUUGGUUUG